GCCAGAUCACGCGAUUGCUUAGUUUCCAGCGGAAUUUCUCGGAGCAUUUUCUGAACUCACUCUUGUUCCUUCUGUAACUGCUUGUUUACUAUAGACUGGUGACAUAAUACGAAACAAACAGUAAACAGAUAUUUUUUGGCUCAACAAUUUAGUUUAGGAGCCAGUUUUAUUUAUUUAUCAUCAUCAUUUUUAUAAAUAAAUAGGAAAGACAGCUGAUAAUGGAGUGGUACAUUAUAAUCAAAUUUGUGAGCGAUUAAGGAGACACACGCUUAUUUAUGACUUUAAAUGGUUAUAAAUUCUGUGAUCCUAAAUAGCUAUAUAGCUACCAUUUAGGAUCACAGAGUUGCCUCAGUUGAGUAACUUUAAAUUUUGAAAUUAUGACUGUGAGACAAAUCAUAGAUUUAACACGGACUAUCAAAUGGAAAAGGCAGUUUAUAGUUAUAGAUGUGUAUAAAAACAGCUGUGUUCGGUUUUAUAUCAUCAGAGUGGAGAAAAACUGUUUGUUGUAUUUAAUUAAACAAAAUUUUUUAUAUGAUUUUAUCUUCAUUUAUAUACCAUAUUUUCGAUAUAUUUUUUUAUUCAUAAACACAUUUUUUGUUGAUUAUUCUUAGUAGAUUAAAUGCAUUGUACUCAUUUUACAAUUGAUAAAUUUAUUUAGAUUAUUUAAGAAUACAGCGUGUUUUUCUGAAUUAUAGAAUUAACUAAUCGAAUAAUAUGAAUAGUUAUCAUUGAUAAGUUUAAAAUAUUUAAUUUGUUUUCUUUUCCCUAGAGAGUGGCAUUAUUAGCUGUGCGAGAAAAUCUGGUUUAUAUCUAACUUUUUGCCAUAGAAAACCGGUAACCAAGAGCGCUAGAAUAAACAACGAAUACAGAAGAGAAAAAUAAAUAAAAUUCUAUCCAAUAUUUUCAGCAGGCGUGUUGCGCUGAAGAUUUUAAAAACUGGAAGAAUUUCCUUUCACCAGAUUAUUCGAGUAAAUUGAAGAUUUCUGUUGAAAAAUAUCAAUAGUCGCUACUGUAAGGCUGAUGCAGAAGUAAAAAUACAAAACAUAACUUAAGAUUUAACUGCACGCUGUAGAAACUCGAGUUUUAGAUGUAAAGAACCAACACGAUACCACGAUUAUGCAUUUAAAAAAUAAAUAAAGAGCUUUUCUUUAUAUUGGUUCUUCAAAUACCGUAUUGUUAACUUGAUCUCGAAGAUAAUGAAUCAUUUCCAAGAAGAUAGCUGUUUAAUUAUUUAAAUAUUAGCCAACCAAACGAACUAGUCGCGUGUUUAUGAUAUGAAAAAUAUAGAAAUGGCUUCAAUUUUUAAUUAUUUUUGUUUCCUUAGGUACAAAGAUGAGAAGCAUUUCGUUAAUCGUGACCCUGGUCAUGCUGGUUACAGUAAGC
RNAcentral lists this long non-coding RNA (1383 nucleotides) under Androctonus crassicauda. Lineage: Eukaryota; Metazoa; Arthropoda; Arachnida; Scorpiones; Buthidae. The record is from RNAcentral.